This 63-nucleotide transfer RNA is filed under the name Bulinus globosus. RNAcentral's name for it is "tRNA-Trp". The record is from RNAcentral. Lineage: Eukaryota; Metazoa; Mollusca; Gastropoda; Planorbidae.
AAAACUUUAAGUUAAAAUAAACUAUUGACCUUCAAAGUCAAAAAUUCAAAAAUGAAUGUUUUG